Molecule: RNA transcript, 5857 nt
Organism: Peromyscus californicus insignis
Lineage: Eukaryota; Metazoa; Chordata; Mammalia; Rodentia; Cricetidae
Gene: Bhlhe41
Gene name: basic helix-loop-helix family member e41
Exons: 7
Source: RefSeq, a predicted model, not a curated record
GCGGAUGGUACGUUCCGCACGUGAGCUGGGUGCUGGUCUGGCCGGCGACGCGCGUGCCCUGUGGCCAAACACUGCCCGGAGUGAGAGCAAACUACCAGCGCAGUGCGUGUAUGCGCGCGCGGGGGUGCGCGCGCGGGUGUGCGAGAGGGUGAGCGAGCGAGCACGGGGCGGAGGGGCGGCCAACUGCUUCACACUUUCAACACUGCACCGAAGAGGGAGAGCGAGACAGCCUGGAGACGCACACAUCCCCCCAAGAUCUCCCCAGGCGAACGUCCCACAGAUUACAGGACAGAACCCUCCAAAUCGAAACGGAGGAAACGGACAGCCAUUGAACAUGGACGAAGGAAUCCCUCAUUUGCAAGAGAGACAGUUACUGGAACAUAGGGAUUUUAUAGGACUGGAUUAUUCCUCUUUGUAUAUGUGUAAACCCAAAAGGAGCUUGAAACGGGAUGACACCAAGGAUACCUACAAAUUACCGCACAGAUUAAUAGAAAAGAAGAGAAGAGACCGAAUUAAUGAAUGCAUUGCUCAGCUGAAAGAUUUACUGCCUGAACAUCUAAAAUUGACAACCCUGGGGCAUCUGGAGAAAGCAGUAGUUUUGGAAUUAACUUUGAAGCACUUAAAAGCGUUAACAGCCUUAACGGAGCAGCAGCAUCAGAAGAUAAUUGCUUUACAGAAUGGGGAGCGCUCUCUGAAAUCGCCUGUCCAGGCCGACUUGGAUGCGUUCCACUCGGGGUUUCAAACCUGCGCCAAAGAAGUCUUGCAAUACCUCGCGCGCUUUGAGAGCUGGACGCCCAGAGAGCCGCGCUGUGCCCAGCUCGUCAGCCACCUGCACGCCGUGGCCACCCAGCUCCUGACGCCACAGGUGCCCCCGGGCAGGGGCCCGGGCCGCGCGCCCUGCAGCACGGGGGCUGCGGCCACCCCGGGCCCCGAGCGCGCGGCCCGCUGCGUGCCGGUCAUCCAGCGGACUCAGCCCGGCACCGAGCCCGAGCAUGACACGGACACCGACAGCGGCUACGGAGGCGAGGCGGAGCAGGGCCGCGCCGCCGUCAAGCAGGAGCCACCUGGGGACCCGUCCCCUGCGCCCAAGAGGCCGAAGCUGGAGGCGCGCGGCGCGCUCCUGGGCCCGGAGCCCGCGCUGCUCGGCUCGCUGGUGGCCCUGGGCGGGGGCGCGCCCUUCGCGCAGCCGGCCGCCGCGCCCUUCUGCCUGCCCUUCUACCUGCUGUCGCCGUCCGCCGCCGCCUACGUGCAGCCCUGGCUGGACAAGAGCGGCCUGGACAAGUAUCUGUACCCCGCGGCGGCCGCCCCCUUCCCGCUGUUGUAUCCUGGCAUCCCCGCAGCAGCCGCCGCCGCCGCCUUCCCCUGCCUGUCGUCCGUGCUGUCGCCGCCUCCUGAGAAGGCAGGCGCGGCCGCCGGUGUCCCUCUGCUGGCGCACGAGGUGGCGCCCCCCGGGCCGCUGCGCCCCCAACACGCUCACAGCCGCACCCACCUGCCGCGCGCAGGGAACCCGGAGAGCUCUCAGGAAGAUGCCUCACAGCCGGCCAAAGAUGCCCCCUGAGCCCCGCAGCUCUUCCAGAACAGGGGCAAAGGGCUCCGGAGGAGUCGCCCGGUUUCCAAGUUCAAACGCCCCUUAACGCGUGCCAGGGAGGAAGAGUAAGAGAUGCUCGGCAGGCUUAGGACAAAAACAGGUGUUUUGUCAGAAGCCCCCAGCACACCUCUCCAGGAGCUGAAACCUGAAGUGGUCCCCACACUUUCUGAAGUCCAGACCCCAGCUCUAUGCCCCGUCCCCAGACUUGAUGACAGGGGAAAUCAGAAGGCCUACACUGUGGCUGCAUGCAGGUCCCAGAGAUGGACUCAGGUUGGAAGGCUGGCAGCAAGCUCCUUUACCUGCUGACCCAUCUUGAUGACUCCUUCCUUAACUUUGAUGAAUGUAACCAGUAACUCGUUUUUAAUUUUAUCUCUUACUUUGGCACUAUGAAGGUCAUUUUCUUUUUUUCCAAGCUCAACCUGGAUAGUGUACGAAUACAUCCAUUUUCCUAAGCCAUACACGACACCCAUAGCCACACUGGGAUUAACUCCAUACCCAGUGGUGUUAACCAGCAGCUCCUCACCGACAUCAAACGUUUCUGGGAGCACAGUGCUUAAACAACUGAAGAGAGAUGCUUCCUUGUGCAUCAGCCCGUGCCAAGCUGGAGAGAGGGAGCUCAGGGCUUAAGAAGGAUUGCUGCUCUAUCAUGAAGGCCGGAGUUUGGAUCCUUGCACCAUGUUAGACAGCUUGCAAAUGUCUGUAAUCCAAUGCCUUGUUCUGGCCUCCCAUGGGCACCUGAAUACAUAUUUGUGCAUAUACUCACUCUUAUAGAUAGGCGGACACAUACACACACAAUUGUUUUUUAAAUGGGUAAAAUUUUGCUUCUUAACUAGGGUCUAAGUACAAAUGCAGAAUUUCCAUGUAAUAAUUAUAAUUCAAAAAUGAGCAAAAUCUUUACGUUUAUCCAUAUAUUAUCCAUUAGAUAAAGAUGUUUCCAAUAACUGAGGCUGGUCUCCAAAAUUAGCUCUGCUUACAGGUCUCUUUCUACAUAUACUGACAAACUAAGUAGUUCAUUAUUCCCAGCCACCCCGAGUUACCUUUUGGAAAUCAUCUAAUACCCCAAAGGAACACAAGAACCACCGUUAGCCUGGACUCUCUUCUGGCUGACAGAGCACUGCCACAGCAAGGGUGGGACUGUGAGCCCAACAUCAACCCUGAAGAAGGCAGCAGGAGAAGAAAAACUGCACAGUGGGCACGUCCCUCCACGCGAUGGGAACAAAGCAGGCCACACUCAGGAGCACACGGGCUUAGCCACAGCCUCCAGCGUGAGCUCACUGGAAGCAGUUCUCCACAGUCCCCACCUCUCUGGGGUCUGCUCGGACAGGAGCCGCUGUCACAGGAUGCCACUGCUUUCAGCACAGGUAGCAUUUCCCUCCUCCUCCCUUUCCUCCAUACUCCAGCCUUGCUAUCCCCACCCCUCAGAUCACUAACCUGUCAACGAAUGCCCCAGACAGUUGGCUCUCCCUGCUGAAGGCCUGGACUGGAGGAAGCCAGGGGCUCUUCAUGGGGUAUUUCCUGCAGGCACAUGGAGGACGCUGUGUAGUCUAUUAUAUUUGUAUUACUCCAUGACACGUCAGAGACAGGCCAACUUUCUAAACAAAGGAGGUUUAUUUAGGACAAGAUCAGGUAGUCCAUGAGUUUGCCCUCUGGUGAGGUGAUGGAAAGCACCACAUAAAGACAAGAGCCAGGCAGACGGGCAGCAAGGAUGCCAGAUGGGGCUGGGCCCUGGUCAGAGUGCUUUAAACAACCCUCUUGCCAAAAAUACCGGGGUCCUGGGAAAAACACCUUGUUUCCUUUAGAGGGCAUCUCAACUGUGCCCCAUCUCUUAAAGGUCCAGAGUCUCCCAUCAUGGCAACCCAAGGAACCAGGCUUCCAGCAUACAAGUCUUUGGGGAACAUGCAAAUCACAUCCCAGAGCCACAGUGGCUCAGAGCUCACUGACACCAACUGGGAAAGGACCAGAGCAAUGUACAGCACCAAAUGGCACUGCUGUACAUAUAUCACAGAGCAGUGGCCAGCACAGGGAUGUCAAGCAGGGUAUUUCUCUAAAGAGUCAGGGGUAGAGCAUUAGCAUAAGAAAGCCACACAUGGUUGCUGCUGAUUUCCACACUGUUUGGUUUUACUGGUACAAACUUUUUUUUCCCUUUAAAUUGCAAAGUUUUUGUCUUAAAUUUUCUUAUUUUUAUUUUAUGUGCAUUGGUGUUUUGUCAUGGCUGUCAGGUCUCCUUGAACUGGAAUUAUAGACAGUUUGUGAGCUGCCAUGUGGGUGCUGGGAAUUGAACCUGGGUCCUCUGGAAGAGCAGCCAGUGCUCUUAACCACUGAGCCAACUCUCUAGCCCCUGCACAAAAAUUCUGAAAUAAAAAAAAUAUAAAAAUAAUGGACUAUUAGGACCCAUUUCUGCAGUAGUAUUAUUAAAGGGAGCAUGAGAAGCCGUCUGUCUUGUAGGGUCUUCUGUCAGGUCCCAGGAUGCUCUACGGCCCUAGAGACAGUGUGAGUGGGCAGCCCCUCCCACUGCUGCCUGCACCCUAAAGCCCCUGUGAAGAUUGCACGUGCCACUGCAGGGCUCUUUCACUAAUCACUACGAUGGGCAGUGAGCAAAUGUUAAGUACUUCUACUGAAUAAUCUGCAGAGGUGACUGAAGGACAAGCACACUGUGGCAAUUCUUCCUGAGGAGGAACUGUAGGACUUUUAUGACCUCGUGAGGAAAAGCCAGCCAAGUGGCCACGUGUUCUUGUUUACUGGCUCAAUCAAUAUGAACAGUAAGGAGUUAGCACUAAAGUCUUACUAUGUGACAAAAUGUCAGCCGGUAAACCGUCUGUCUGUCUGUCUGUCUGUCUCUAACCUUUUAUCACCUGUCUGAGUACCAUAUGACAUGAAUUGAACAAGUAUGGAAACUGAGGCACAGAGCACUCGGACACUCACCUAGGCUCCCCCUGCUAGUAAGUGGCAGGUCUGACAGUGCCAGUAAGCACUUAAGAAACGGACACAUGUAACCACUAACGCUGUCUCAGGAGAGAUGCACCAAGUCCCUGUGAGUGCAUUAGCUUUGAAGGACUUCAGGGCCACUGCUGCUGCAAAAUCAGAUGCACAGAGCUCACAGCCAAUGACCAAGAGGGAGUGAGGAACACAUGCCAUGGAGGUUUCUGAUGGCACGGUGCCUCCCAAAGCCACUCAGCUCAGCUAAGCAGGGCACACACUAGGUUCUGAAUCCAAAUUCCACCUGACCCACAGUCUAUGGAGGGCAAAUGGCAGCAUGGUAAUAGUGACUCUCUAGAUGGGAGAAGGCUGGAAAUCGUAUCCUAACAGUCACACAUGCUUAGCGGUUGAUAAAACUAGAUUUUAAAAGAAACAUUUUUAUUGAAGUAUAACAUAUUAGAGAAAACUCAGGAAUCCUAUGAGUGGAUUUUGCAAAAUGACUGCAUCUGCCUACUCACCUCCAAGUGACCUUCUAGAACUGAUCUUCUGCAAAGGCCACUACCACGACAGCUGUGAGCACACAAAGUUCGUGUAGUCUGUGAGCCCAGCUCAUGCUGCUCUCAACAGCAAUAGCUCACUCCAGCUGCAGUAGAGAUGUUUGCUGCAAUGGAGUACUUUGACUUCCAGAUCCAGACCACCACAAGCAUGCCACUGCACUGUAACUGCCUGCUAGCCCACUCUGUCCACUUGCCUCUAUUUGCACACAUACUCUGUACACUAUCGCUACAGGAAACCCCUUUCAAAUAUAACCCUCCUCAAGACAUUUCACAUCUGUCCAACACAUGACUCUGUAGCUUCUUCGAGCUGUAUGUGCUACUGUCUUUCCCUGGAAAUUCUUUGCCUCCUAAUUCUCCACAAACUGAGUCCUUUGCCCCAGUGACCUACACAAGGUGGACGUGCACGCACGUCUGUGGACUCCAGACAGUAACUGCACAGAUGCUGGUAAGGAAAAGCACAGGCACCCUGAGAACUGGGCGAGAGAACUCAGGAGUGUUCAGUACCACAGAAUCCUUCCUUUGCCUCUAGUUCCUAAACCAUACCAUUAACUGAUGCUACGGUGACUAUAAACUCCACAGUGUGACCCUCAGAAAUUACCCCCAGGUGGUGUCUAAUGCAUGGCCGCUACUCUCAGCUGUACUCCACGGCUUCCCCAGGAGCUUAAACAAAACCGUUUACUGCAGCAGAUUCACAGAUUUUUUUUUUUUUUUUUAACAUUUAGGGAAAUAUCCAAGCAAAUCAUAUUAUAGGAGAUAGAAAAACAAUUACAAAAACUAUGUCUAAUAUCACUUAGAA